RNAcentral lists this ribosomal RNA (459 nucleotides) under uncultured bacterium. RNAcentral describes it as "partial 16S ribosomal RNA". It matches the Rfam family "Bacterial small subunit ribosomal RNA", at positions 338 to 795 of the family's 1533-position model. The record is from RNAcentral.
CCUACGUGAUGCAGCAGUGAGGAAUAUUGGUCAAUGGCCGAGAGGCUGAACCAGCCAAGUCGCGUGAGGGAUGACGGCCCUACGGGUUGUCAACCUCUUUUGUCGGGGAGCAAAGAGAGUCACGUGUGGCUCAUUGAGAGUACCCGAAUACAAAGCAUCGGCUAACUCCGUGCCAGCAGCCGCGGUAAUCCGGAGGAUGCGCGUGUUAUCCGGAUUGAUUGGGUUUAAAGGGUGCGCAGGCGGAGGGGCAAGUCCGUGGUCAAAUUGCGGGGCUCCACCCCGUACUGCCGUUGAAACUGCAUCCCUUGAGUGCGCGAGAAGUAUGCGGAAUGCGUGGUGUAGCGGUGAAAUGCAUAGAUAUCACGCAGAACUCCGAUUGCGAAGGCAGCAUACCGGCGCGCAACUGACGCUCAUGCACGAAAGCGUGGGUAUCGAACAGGAUUAGAUACCCCGGUAGUC